AACACGUGGGCAACCUGCCUAUAAGACUGGGAUAACUUCGGGAAACCGGAGCUAAUACCGGAUACGUUCUUUUCUCGCAUGAGAGAAGAUGGAAAGACGGUUUACGCUGUCACUUAUAGAUGGGCCCGCGGCGCAUUAGCUAGUUGGUGAGGUAAUGGCUCACCAAGGCGACGAUGCGUAGCCGACCUGAGAGGGUGAUCGGCCACACUGGGACUGAGACACGGCCCAGACUCCUACGGGAGGCAGCAGUAGGGAAUCUUCCGCAAUGGACGAAAGUCUGACGGAGCAACGCCGCGUGAACGAAGAAGGCCUUCGGGUCGUAAAGUUCUGUUGUUAGGGAAGAACAAGUACCAGAGUAACUGCUGGUACCUUGACGGUACCUAACCAGAAAGCCACGGCUAACUACGUGCCAGCAGCCGCGGUAAUACGUAGGUGGCAAGCGUUGUCCGGAAUUAUUGGGCGUAAAGCGCGCGCAGGUGGUUCCUUAAGUCUGAUGUGAAAGCCCACGGCUCAACCGUGGAGGGUCAUUGGAAACUGGGGAACUUGAGUGCAGAAGAGGAAAGUGGAAUUCCAAGUGUAGCGGUGAAAUGCGUAGAGAUUUGGAGGAACACCAGUGGCGAAGGCGACUUUCUGGUCUGUAACUGACACUGAGGCGCGAAAGCGUGCGGAGCAAACAGGAUUAGAUACCCUGGUAGUCCACGCCGUAAACGAUGAGUGCUAAGUGUUAG
RNAcentral lists this ribosomal RNA (728 nucleotides) under Bacillus sp. A5AGK1. Its description in RNAcentral is "bacterial SSU rRNA". It matches the Rfam family "Bacterial small subunit ribosomal RNA", at positions 112 to 826 of the family's 1533-position model. The record is from RNAcentral. Lineage: Bacteria; Bacillati; Bacillota; Bacilli; Caryophanales; Bacillaceae.